CUAUUUAUUCCAAGAAAAGCUCAUUCGACUUUGAGUCUAGAUUACCUGUACCGUAAACCGACACAGGUGAGUGGGUUGAAUAAACUAAGGGGAGCGAGAUAACUCUCUCUAAGGAACUCGGCAAAUUGGCUCUGUACCUUCGGAAGAAAGAGUGCCCCUUCAUGGGGCCGCAGUGAAGAGAUCCAGGCGACUGUUUACCAAAAACACAGGUCUCCGCAAAGUCGUAAGACGACGUAUGGGGGCUGACACCUGCCCAGUGCCAGAAGGUUAAAGAAGUUGGUCAAUCUUUGAUGAAGCUAACAACUGAAGCCCUGGUGAACGGCGGCAGUAACAAUAACUGUCCUAAGGUAGCGAAAUUCCUUGUCGGGUAAGUUCCGACCUGCACGAAUGGCGUAACGAUGGCGGCGCUGUCUCCACC
RNAcentral lists this ribosomal RNA (418 nucleotides) under uncultured Micromonas. RNAcentral's name for it is "partial Bacterial large subunit ribosomal RNA". It matches the Rfam family "Bacterial large subunit ribosomal RNA", at positions 1599 to 2026 of the family's 2925-position model. Lineage: Eukaryota; Viridiplantae; Chlorophyta; Mamiellophyceae; Mamiellales. The record is from RNAcentral.